This 314-nucleotide unclassified non-coding RNA is filed under the name air metagenome. Its description in RNAcentral is "partial contains small subunit ribosomal RNA, internal transcribed spacer 1, and 5.8S ribosomal RNA". The stretch from base 1 to 46 matches the Rfam family "Eukaryotic small subunit ribosomal RNA", at positions 1786 to 1831 of the family's 1831-position model. The record is from RNAcentral.
AAGUCGUAACAAGGUUUCCGUAGGUGAACCUGCGGAAGGAUCAUUAUUGAAAAUAAACUUGAUAGGUUGCUGCUGGUUCUCUCGGGAGCAUGUGCACACUUGUCAUCUUUAUAUCUCCACCUGUGCACCUUUUGUAAAUCUGAAUAUCUUUCUGAAUGCCCCGCCAUUUCAGGUUUGAGGAUUGAUUUUUUCUCUCCUUACAUUUUCAGGUUUAUGUUUUUCAUUAUACCCCAUGUAUGUUUAUAGAAUGUAAGAAAUGGGCCCUUUGUGCCUAUAAAUUUAUACAACUUUCAGCAACGGAUCUCUUGGCUCUC